GAUGAACGCUAGCGGGAGGCCUAACACAUGCAAGCCGAGCGGUAUUUGUUCUUCGGAACAGAGAGAGCGGCGCACGGGUGCGGAACACGUGUGCAACCUGCCUUUAUCUGGGGGAUAGCCUUUCGAAAGGAAGAUUAAUACCCCAUAAUAUAUUGAGUGGCAUCAUUUGUUAUUGAAAACUCCGGUGGAUAGAGAUGGGCACGCGCAAGAUUAGAUAGUUGGUGAGGUAACGGCUCACCAAGUCAAUGAUCUUUAGGGGGCCUGAGAGGGUGAUCCCCCACACUGGUACUGGGACACGGACCAGACUCCUACGGGAGGCAGCAGUGAGGAAUAUUGGACAAUGGGUUAGCGCCUGAGCCAGCCAUCCCGCGUGAAGGACGACGGCCCUAUGGGUUGUAAACUUCUUUUGUAUAGGGAUAAACCUACUCUCGUGAGAGUAGCUGAAGGUACUAUACGAAUAAGCACCGGCUAACUCCGUG
This 479-nucleotide ribosomal RNA is filed under the name uncultured bacterium. RNAcentral describes it as "partial 16S ribosomal RNA". It matches the Rfam family "Bacterial small subunit ribosomal RNA", at positions 28 to 507 of the family's 1533-position model. The record is from RNAcentral.